Molecule: ribosomal RNA, 442 nt
Filed under: uncultured bacterium
Lineage: Bacteria
Description: partial 16S ribosomal RNA
Rfam family: Bacterial small subunit ribosomal RNA
Source: RNAcentral
CCUACGGGUGGCUGCAGUGGGGAAUCUUGGGCAAUGGGCGAAAGCCUGACCCAGCAACGCCGCGUGAAGGCAGAAGGCUUUCGGGUUGUAAACUUCUUUUGACAGGGAAGAGCAGAAGACGGUACCUGUCGAAUAAGCCACGGCUAACUACGUGCCAGCAGCCGCGGUAAUACGUAGGUGGCAAGCGUUGUCCGGAUUUACUGGGUGUAAAGGGCGUGUAGCCGGGCUGACAAGUCAGAUGUGAAAUCCGGGGGUUCAACCCCCGAACGGCAUUUGAAACUGUUGGUCUUGAGUAGCGGAGAGGCAGGCGGAAUUCCUAGUGUAGCGGUGAAAUGCGUAGAUAUCACGCAGAAAUCCGAUCGCGAAGGCAGCCUACCGGCGCGCAACUGACGCUCAUGCACGAAAGCGUGGGUAUCGAACAGGAUUAGAUACCCCUGUAGUC